RNAcentral lists this ribosomal RNA (497 nucleotides) under uncultured bacterium. Its description in RNAcentral is "partial 16S ribosomal RNA". It matches the Rfam family "Bacterial small subunit ribosomal RNA", at positions 28 to 507 of the family's 1533-position model. The record is from RNAcentral.
GAUGAACGCUGGCGGCGUGCCUAAUACAUGCAAGUCGAGCGAACAGACGAGGAGCUUGCUCCUCUGACGUUAGCGGCGGACGGGUGAGUAACACGUGGAUAACCUACCUAUAAGACUGGGAUAACUUCGGGAAACCGGAGCUAAUACCGGAUAAUAUAUUGAACCGCAUGGUUCAAUAGUGAAAGACGGUUUUGCUGUCACUUAUAGAUGGAUCCGCGCCGCAUUAGCUAGUUGGUAAGGUAACGGCUUACCAAGGCGACGAUGCGUAGCCGACCUGAGAGGGGGAUCGGCCACACUGGAACUGAGACACGGUCCAGACUCCUACGGGAGGCAGCAGAAGGGAAUCUUCCGCAAUGGGCGAAAGCCGGACGGAGCAACGCCGCGUGAGUGAUGAAGGUCUUCGGAUCGUAAAACUCUGUUAUUAGGGAAGAACAAAUGUGUAAGUAACUAUGCACGUCUUGACGGUACCUAAUCAGAAAGCCACGGCUAACUACGUG